CCACAGGUGAGCCCACCCCACAGGUGAGCACUUCCCACAGGUGAGCCCACCCCACAGGUGAGCACUUCCCACAGGUGAGCCUGCCCCACAGGUGAGCACUUCCCACAGAUGAGCCUGCCCCACAGGUGAGCC
Molecule: long non-coding RNA, 132 nt
Organism: Lepus europaeus (European hare)
Lineage: Eukaryota; Metazoa; Chordata; Mammalia; Lagomorpha; Leporidae
Exons: 4
Source: RefSeq, a predicted model, not a curated record